RNAcentral lists this ribosomal RNA (497 nucleotides) under uncultured bacterium. RNAcentral describes it as "partial 16S ribosomal RNA". It matches the Rfam family "Bacterial small subunit ribosomal RNA", at positions 28 to 507 of the family's 1533-position model. The record is from RNAcentral.
GAUGAACGCUGGCGGCGUGCCUAAUACAUGCAAGUCGAGCGAACGGACGAGAAGCUUGCUUCUCUGAUGUUAGCGGCGGACGGGUGAGUAACACGUGGAUAACCUACCUCUAAGACUGGGAUAACUUCGGGAAACCGGAGCUAAUACCGGAUAAUAUUUUGAACCGCAUGGUUCAAAAGUGAAAGACGGUCCUGCUGUCACUUAUAGAUGGAUCCGCGCUGCAUUAGCUAGUUGGUAAGGUAACGGCUUACCAAGGCAACGAUGCAUAGCCGACCUGAGAGGGUGAUCGGCCACACUGGAACUGAGACACGGUCCAGACUCCUACGGGAGGCAGCAGUAGGGAAUCUUCCGCAAUGGGCGAAAGCCUGACGGAGCAACGCCGCGUGAGUGAUGAAGGUCUUCGGAUCGUAAAACUCUGUUAUUAGGGAAGAACAUAUGUGUAAGUAACUGUGCACAUCUUGACGGUACCUAAUCAGAAAGCCACGGCUAACUACGUG